UGGCUGGCGACAUUUAACUACUGACAGACAGUGAGAGACUGAAACUCCCACGAAAACCUCUGUGCAGUCGAGGAGCUUGAAAUUGCUACGGAAUCAUGGAACGGUGGCGAAGACGGGGCUGCGGAUUGUGUGGUCUGGGUUACAAUGACUUCUCGCCUGGCACUGGAUAAACGACAGUCGGCAGGAGACGUUCGCGCCUCCCUGACCUUAUCAUUUGGUGGAUCGUAUAAGAUGUUCAGGGAGUCCAUUUGGCAAGAGUACUAGCCGCUGGCGGAACGCUCGAUGACCUUGAUGACUCGGAAUCCGGCUGCACGCUUGUCUGUGUGUUUCGUUGCGUCAUCCAACACCUUUUCUUGUUUGUGGUGCUACUUCCUGCAAUAACGUCUGCAAUUCUGGUCAUGGUUCUGUGCACUUUGAAAUCGACAUAGCCACAAAUCGUGGAGUGUCAUAGGAUUACAUAGACUGUUGAGGGGUUCCGAUUAAUGCUCAGUGUGUGCCAACGGCGUUUAACUACGGCAAGGAAUCAUGCUUUACUCUUGGCUCGCUGUACCAGUGGGGGAAAUAUUCUCUUCAUGCGUAUGUUCCACAACGUCCUCUAAUGUUUGCGGACAAAGAUCCGAUGACUGCUGGUAUUGUCCUCUCGAAUGUAGAGUGGCCGAGAUAGGUGCCCCAUUGCGUUGGUGGUUUCGUCGCCCUUUUUCAGAGCACUCUCGACUGUUAUUUCGUUUCCUUGUGAACGAGUCCACGCGGCAUCCAUCGCUCUGUCAUACGUAUAUCGUGGCGUUACUGCACUCUUGGAUCUUUUUAGCAGUCACAAACACGCGACAGAUAACGUCUGCGCAGCACGUCUUGGCUCCUUCCAAGCUACAUGUUCCUCCAUCUUGCGCAUCCGUGACGGCCGUGUCCACGUUUUGCUCGAAACAUGUUGGAGAAGUUAUUCAAUUUGCCUGGCAUCAGCUCAUCUUCCGUUCCUGUGAAAUAAGCCAGAGCUUCCCUCCAGCUCUAAUUAGCUACCCAAAUCAAGGAAGAGCGGCGAAGGCGUCUCGACCGCCACGCCGAGCUGACGCCGCCGAACAUGUUGAAUGCUCGUGUGCCUCCACUCUUGCACAUACAUUUUUUUUCUCCGAAGCGAGUAGAAAAUUCGCCUUUGCCAGCUGUUUGUUUGAGAUCCGGUGUUUGUGAUUCUCGGAAGCCAUCCAAGGAGC
This 1205-nucleotide long non-coding RNA is filed under the name Toxoplasma gondii VEG. Lineage: Eukaryota; Apicomplexa; Conoidasida; Eucoccidiorida; Sarcocystidae. The record is from RNAcentral.